UGUGACGUGGUUCCGUUGUAUUUACGGACUUACGGGGAGGUUGUCAGUGAUCUGUCUUCAUUAACCAAUGGAUUGUUGAAUUACGUCUGGAUACAUAAAUACAUUUUUUUGUGUGGGUGUUUCGUAGGCGUUAUAUUUAUUUCGAAAUUAUCAUCGGAAUAUCGAGGGAAUAUUUUUAUCCCUUCUGAUCAAAAGAUCCGGAAGUGACGUCAGAAGCUCACCUGCCGCUCCAGGCUCUCUGGCAUCAGUUACCGUUCUCAACAAAAAGGCUGAGGUAAUGUAUACAAUUUACUUG
This is a long non-coding RNA of Penaeus chinensis, 295 nucleotides long. RefSeq lists it as uncharacterized. The record is from RefSeq and is a predicted model, not a curated record. The transcript has 3 exons. Lineage: Eukaryota; Metazoa; Arthropoda; Malacostraca; Decapoda; Penaeidae.